Molecule: long non-coding RNA, 9264 nt
Filed under: Brassica rapa (field mustard)
Lineage: Eukaryota; Viridiplantae; Streptophyta; Magnoliopsida; Brassicales; Brassicaceae
Description: long non-coding RNA (BRAP_LNC002323)
Source: RNAcentral
AAGAAACUUCUUAAAUUACAAGUUCCUAAUGUGAUGGCCAAGAGGCCAAAGACUUGACAUUGAAUAAAUAGAAGAUUGACGUAUCAUCUCAAUAGUGCUCGUCUCUUAUACGACAAGUAUUACAAGCUUAUGUUGGAUUAAGCUUGAAAGAAAAGGGAACUUGAGAAAUAAGUUAAAGACCUAAUCGUACCGAGUUAUGGAAAUUAGGAAUAUUAAUAUGUUUAGGAGGAGUUAUCUAGAUAUAUUACCUAAUAGGAUUAGGAGUUAUUAAUCUCUAUAUAAGAAGAUGCAAGAGUGUUGCAUAACUUAUGGUUUAGAGAUUGAGAGAUUGUGAGCUUAAGGUUUUUGAGUUAUUUUUCCUUAAGAUAAUAAGAGAGUUAUUCUUAUUUGUGAUUGAGUUCUUGAGAUUUCUAAACUAUAUUUGGUAUCAGAGCAACAGGUUAGAUACUGGAUCUGUAAUAAGUUUCUUUUGCUCAAACCCUAAUUUCGGACUUCAACAAACAUCACGGCUAACUAUUAUGGUUAUGGGGGCGAAUGUAUUCAAGUUAGACUCGCCUAAGUCUGACACGGAUAAAGAGAUGACGACGAUGAGUAAGGUUGCGGUUCAAUCUCAGAUAACCCUCUUACAUCGCAAAUCAAAGAAGAAGAAGAAGAAGAAGCACAAGAGGAUAUCUGGUGGUGAUGAGAUAGUAAAAACUAAAAGCUCCAAAGUUAAUCGACGUCAUGAGAAAGCACUCAUUAACAGUGAUGAUUACGGUGCUAAGAGAGAUCAGGGAAAGAGAAGGCGUGUUGAUUCUGAUGUGGGAAAUACAACACACAAACCUAGGAAGAAAAAUAGUAUGCUUGCAAUGAUUGCGAUUAAAUGUGGUGUACAGUUAACCACCAGUGAGAGAAUGGCUGAAGACUUCGAGAAACUGACAGGAGGGAUACUACUCUCUAGGAACGAAGACGGCUUGGUUUUCUACCGAGGAAAGAAUUUUUUGUCACGAGAAAUAGAUGAGGCAUUGGUGGAGCAAGAAAAACUUGUAAGGAGUUUACAAGAAGAAGAAGAGGCACGUUUAGAAGAAGGAUCAUCGGCCCUGAUUGUCAUAAGUACUGAACCUAGUAAUGAACUUGUUUAUGCUGGUACUCUUGGUAAAACACGUGACUUGACAAGUAAGUGGGGAAUGAAUCUGAACGAUGGUCACCAUGCAGAAGAAGUGAAACACGAGGUUAAAGAACUGAGGCAUAAGAAUCUUGUCAGGAAGCUGGAAAAGAAAUUUGUUAUUGCUGAGAGAAAGCUAUUAAAAGCUGAACGUGGUUUGGUUAAAGUGGAAGAGUACCUACAGCCAGCAGAGCAGAGAGCAGACAUAGAAAGCAUAACUGGUGAAGAGAGGUUUAUAUGCCGCAAGCGUGGUUCGAAUAUGAAAGCUUUCUUGCUUAUAGGUAGGCGAGGAGUGUUUAAUGGCACGGUUGAGAACAUGCAUUUGCACUGGAAAUACGGAGAACUGGUCAAAAGGAAGGCUUUAGCACGUUCCAUUAAACUCCAACGACACGAGGGAUGUAUAAAAGAAACUUUGGCAAUGCAUGCAAGAGCAGAACGGAUGGGAGUUGAAACUGAACUUAUGGAGAAAAUAGAAGACUUCAGGAGAGUGAAGAAGCUUCUGACUUAUGUGAGAUUCGAGCCUGUUUCUUCAAGAAAAACAUUGUUACCUUCAAGAGAGCAGAUGAGAACAAAGGAACUAUUAUUAGAAAAACACUUAGAGGAAAACGAGGAACAGAAGGUAAGUGUGUUGUCGUGUAUGCAUAUCUUGAGAUAUACUCGCACUGAAGUAGAAAGUGAGAGAGUAAAGCUCAACAGAGUCGCUGAGACUAAGGGAUUUGCGCAUGACUUGGAAGAUCAACUAAGAGAAUUGGAAAAGAAAGAAACGGACAUAACAGAGUUGUCUUGUAAUCAUGACGAGGAGGCAGAGGAGGAAGAGAAAAAGAUGAUACAAAAAUAUCAUAAAGAUAAUGGAUGUGAACAAUCCCAGUUCCCAAUCCUCUGUCAAUCUUGCUUUUGUGACAAUCUUUACUUGAGAAUGGUAAUAGCAGAUUAUAAGAUAGAAUGCAAGGUACGUACACGGUUCUUUACGGUGUUUAGGUGGCAGCCUAGCCGGACUGAGAGAUACAAGAAACCAGACAUAUGUCAGACUUACUCCAAGUUGAAGAACAGAUGCCAAGUCUGUCUUCUGGAUCUUGAGAAAGGUCUUCCUGUUCAGGUCAGUGACACGGCAUUCAACAUUACUACUCACGGGAAAGAGAAGCACUUUAGUGCUACAGAGGAAGAUAUCAAUCAUAAGUCAACUAUACUGGAGAAUGAGAAGGAUCAACUUAGAAAGUUAUACUUAGAGGACUUGAGGGGUCAAAAUCUUCAACGGUUGGCUGCAUCAGAUGGAUUGUCGAUGGAGAAAACUAAAUUUCAAGUUGAGAGUAAACACAGUAAUGGAAAAAAAGAAGAGUUACGAGAAAAAACAGAGUACGUUACACGAGAGGUUUUCUCAAUGUAUCUCAUGAGAGAGCAUGAAGAACUUGUGAAUAAAAUGGUGGAGGAACAUUCAAAGUGGCUUACUAAGAUACAGCAUGAACGAGUUGACCUCGUGUUGGGCAUUGAGAUGCAGAAAAGAGAGUUCGGGUAUUGUAUUAAAGACAAACGGGAAGAAUUUAAAAAUUCUUCAAGGGAGAGAGUGGUAAGAUCAGAGAUCGGAUCUACCGGAAAUCGCUAGUAUUAUUGAUAACCCAUGUCAAGUAUUACAACUGAGAGACUCUAUCACCUGAGAUCUCUACCUACUCUAUCACCUGAGUAGUACUAAGCACAUGAGCUCAGUUUACAAUUGUAAUUUCUCGAUAACCGUCUAACAGACUCCAAGCUAGUAUUUAUACUAAUAUACAAGCACGUGUUAUUAUUUAUUCUUGUUUUAAACUUCAGACGUCCUUGCCUUCGUCCUGCUUCUCUUUCAUCCCUCUAUCUCCUUUGAAUCUUCUCCUCUCAUAUGUAUGCUUGUACCUAUCAAUACUCCCCCCAUUAACAGCAAGCUUGCCCUCAAGCUUGUAAUCUGGAAAAUGACAUACGAAGUCGCUCAUACACAUCCAAGAAUUGUCAUGCUCCGGAGAAUUCUUCCACCGGACCAACAACUCCACCCCAUCAUCCAUCCCGACGCGAGACGCAAUCACUUCCUCAGGUUCCAUGAUUAUAUUCUCCAAAUCCGUACAUGAUGGAGGAAUCUCCUGGAGUAACUGGUUCUGACCCAACGCCGCUUUCAACUGUGAAAUGUGAAAUACCGGAUGAAUUUUAGAUCCUUCUGGUAACCGUAAGCGGUACGCUACCUUACCCACACGUUCCAAAAUCUCAUACGGCCCAAAGAACUUCGCAGCCAACUUCUGACAGUAGCGUUUGACGACUGUGUUUUGUCGAAAUGGUUUUAACUUGAGGUACACGGCAUCCCCCACAGCAAACUGAAGAUCCCGUCUAUGCUUAUCUGCUUGUGACUUCAUCUGAGACUGAGCACGAGCCAAGUGGAGACGAAUCUGAACCAACAUAGCAUCUCGUUCCUGUAACGCCGCUUCCAAGUCAAAAUUCUUAGUUGAGCCCGUUUCAAACCGUAGCAGCUGCGGCGGUUCUCUCCCAUACACAAUCUGAAACGGAGUAGCCUUAAGCGACGUAUGAAAAGACGUAUUGUACCACAACUCUGACCAUGACAGGAACUUAAACCAAGUCUUAGGAUGUCCAGACGCGAAACAGCGUAAAUAGGUCUCCAUACAACGGUUAAGGACCUCUGUCUGACCAUCUGUUUGUGGAUGAAACGCUGUACUGUACUUCAACUUGGUACCUGAUAGACGAAACAAGUCUUUCCAAAAGUUGCUCAAAAAAAUAUGAUCACGGUCUGAGACAAUGGACUUGGGAAAACCAUGAAGACGAACAAUCUCUGUCAUGAAUUUACUCGCGACGUCCACUGCUGUGAACGGAUGCUUCAAUCUCACAAAAUGACCAUACUUACUCAGACGAUCUACCACCACCAUAAUCACAUUCAUACCUUGCGAAGUAGGUAAUCCUUCCACGAAAUCCAUCGAGACGUCUUCCCACACGCGGAGGGGUAUUGGCAGAGGCUGUAACAAGCCUGCUGGAGUUAGGGUCGAAUACUUAUGGGUCUGACAUACACCACAUUCUGAUACAUACUUCUGAACCGUUUUAUAUAAUCCUUCCCAAUGAAACAUAGUCUGUACGCGUUUGACGGUCUUAAGAACCUCUGAAUGACCACCCACCUUUCCGUCAUGACACUCAAACAAUAUAAGAGGAAUCCAUUGCGACUGUUUUGGUAAGACCAGCCUCUGGUUGUACCAUAAUCUAUCAUUGAUCACUCUGAAAUGUGGGUUAGCUGAUUCGCCUUUUCGGACUGCUACAAUUAGCUUCUGCAACUCUGUGUCUUCCGCAAUUUCUCUGUAAAUGUCCUCGACCUGAAUCACCGACGGAACAGUCAAUGCCAAACAUAGUGAGCUGCCCUGUAUCAUAUGGUCGUUCUCAAUUCUUGAAAGACCAUCCGCCGCCUUGUUAUCACAACCUGGCUUAUAUAAGAUCUCGAAAUCAUAGCCCAAAAGUUUCGUAAGCCACUUCUGAUACUCCAUGUUGACCUCUCGCUGUUCCAACAGAUACUUUAAGCUCUGUUGAUCUGUGUGUACCACAAACUUCCUUCCUAACAGAUAAUGCUUCCAUUUUUGUACUGCCAUUACUACCGCCAUCAGUUCUCUUUCAUAAGCUGGUUUUAACCUUUCCCGUGGAGUAAGACCAUGGCUAAAAAACGCAAUGGGUCGCUUAUCUUGCAUCAGUACUGCUCCCACUCCAAAUCCUGAUGCAUCUGUCUCAAUCACGAAUGUUUUCUCAAAAUUCGGUAAAGCCAGCACAGGUGUUGAGGUCAUUGCUUUUUUAAGUUGCUCAAAUGAUUCCUGCGACGCCUUUGACCAUAAGAACCCUUCUUUCUUUAACAAUUCAGUUAGGGGUCUUGCGAUGGUUCCAUAUCCCUGCACAUAUCUUCGAUAAUACCCUGUAAGACCCAAGAAGCCUCUUAACUGCUUUACUGUUUUUGGUGUCGACCAUUCCUUCAUACACUUCGUUUUACAUGCGUCCGUAGCUACACCCUCUCUUGAUAUAAUAUGUCUCAAAUAUUCCACCUGUGAUAACCCAAAUGAACAUUUCUUCUUGUUUGCCUAUAACUUCUGUUCUGCCAAAAUUGAUAACACAAUACGCAAGUGCUGUUCAUGUUCUUCUGCAUUUCGACUGUAAAUUAGCACAUCAUCGAAGAAAACCAAGACGAACUUGCAUAAGUAAGGACGAAAUAUUGAGUUCAUCAGAGCUUGGAAGGUUACGGGCGCAUUAGUGAGUCCAAAGGGCAUCACUAGAAAUUCAUAAUGGCCUUCCACCGUGCGAAACGCAGUCUUCUCAACAUCGCUGUCCUUCAUUCGUAUCUGAUGAUAUCCCGCCCUUAAAUCGAUCUUAGAGAAGAUUGUAGCACCAUGUAACUCGUCCAAUAGCAUAUCAAUCACCGGUAUUGGAAAUUUGUCAGGUACAGUCACUUUGUUCAAAGCCCUAUAGUCGAUACAAAAUCGCCAAGAACCAUCUUUUUUUUUUGACUAAGAGAACGGGGCUUGAAAACGGACUAGUACUUGCUCUGAUAAUCCCUGCUUGCAACAUCUCACCAACCAUCUUCUCCAUUUCUACUUUAGUUGCGUGAGGGUAUCUGUAGGGACGCACAGAGAUUGCAGACACGCCUGGAUGUAAGUUUAUUGAGUGAUCAUAGCCUCUAAAAGGUGGUAACCCAGUUGGUAGGGCAAAAACGUGAUCAAACUCAUCCAAGACGGCCUGCAGCUUUUUCGGAAUUUCUGGAAUGGUGGUAGUUACCUCGCUUGCUGAUAACAGGAACUCUUCUCUUCUUCCCAUAUCAGCAUUAAAGAUAGGGGUCAGUGACUUAAAAGAGAGUGAAGAACAAUGCAAGUUUGGAUCUCCAUGGACUGUCACUUUGUUGCCUUGAUGCACAAAGGACAUCUCUUGCGUUUUCCAAUCUACUUCGCAUUUUUCCAGGGUCUCCAGCCACUGAACUCCUAAAAUAACAUCAACCAUUCCCAAUUCCAAAGCUAUGAAUUCUGAGGUGAAUUCAGUAUCUGCUAGGUUGAAUGUAACAGACUUACACACUCCUGUACCGUUGACUGUUACUCUGUUACCUAGCAGGACGUCGAGGCUCUUAUCUACACAAAUUUUCAGCUUAAGCCUCUGCACCGUAUCAGGUGUGAUGAAGUUAUGGGAAGCUCCACUGUCAAUCAUGAUGAUCACACUGCUGUUGUUGAUCUUCCCAUAUAGCUUCGUUGUUUUCGGGGAUUGUUUUCCCAAAAAUGAGUUGAGAGAAAGUACUCUCAUUUCCUUUGCUGGCGUAUAGACUAUCGUUUCUUCCUCUGACUCCUCUUCUUCAUCCAAGACCUCCAUGUCCAUUCCAUUCACUAUCGUUAUAACCCGGAGCUCCUUGUUUGGACAUAUGUGAGCCCGUGUCCAACCAUUAGCGCCACAUUUGAAACAUAUGAACUCCUUCCUCAUUCUAUCCAACUCCUCCUUAGUAUGUUUCAGCCGCGGACGCAGAUUUGCAACCGGUGUGAUACUGUCAUCUUUUUUUUUAUGAGUAAUUGUUGUUUGCGUUUUCUUGUUACUAGCGUCGUGCCAAUGUCGUUGUGAAUUGUAUCCAGAUGAUGAUUUCAAUGUAUUCGACUGCGACUGACUUUGAUAACGAGUUCCUCCUGUGCUAACCACUUUACAGAAGGCGCUUGUUUCCAUUCUCAAGACUGCUGCAAUGUGACUCUCCAGACCUUUCGGCUCUUUCAUUCUGAUGACUUCCUUCAUCUCUUGUGUGAGCCCGUUGUAGAAGAUCUUGAUCAGGAACUCAUCAGUUAAUCCCGGAACCAACUCUGAUAACUCUUCAAACUCUGAUACAUAAUCAGCUACUGACCCUGUCUGUUUGAGUGCAAUGAGACGGCUUGCUGGUUCUUCUUCAAUAGACUCAGUGAAUCUCAAUACCAGUUUCUCUUUGAACUCUUGCCAAUUCUGAAAACCACUCCGCUUUAGCUCCCACCCAAACCAUUUCUUAACACAUCCUUCUAAACUUAACGCCACCAAUUCCAGUUUCUCCAUAUCUUCAUAUCUCCCGAUACUAAACCAUCGCUCAACAUUUGUGAUCCACACGUAUGGUUGCUUGCCAGAGAACACAGGCAUUGGGAUUUUUUUCAACAUUGAGUCUCUAGUAUCCAAAUUCAUAUUCCCAGAUCGAUAACCUAGCGAGUGUUCUUCCCGAUUUCGUUCCCAGUGUCGAGAAUGUACCUGAUCGCGUGAGGAACUUGGCUGCGAAUGUUGUUGUUGAUUUCGUAAUGGAUCGAGACGCUCUAGGAUUUGUCGCAUCGCGUUAAGCUCCUGAUUCGUCUUCUCCUGAGUACUCUCCAUCUCCUUCAUAGCUCGAUUGAGUCUCGAGUAUCCUCCUCUCAGAAAAUCCACCGUCAUAUCAGAUUCUUCGACCUCAAAUUCGUCUUCCGAACCGAUCAUCGUACUCUCCGAUAUAACCUUCGCCUUCGACAUCGCUCGGACUCUCCGACUCCAAUCGAAUACCUCACCCGUCGACGUUCACCGUAAACUGUGAUCGCAACGUAACCUUCGUCUUGCGAUCGGCAGAAAUCGUAACUACCACCGCCGCGUGAGCUCGAAUCAGUUUCACCGCACCAAUUGGUAAGAUCAGAGAUCGGAUCUACCGGAAAUCGCUAGUAUUAUUGAUAACCAAUGUCAAGAAUUACAACUGAGAGACUCUAUCACCUGAGAUCUCUACCUACUCUAUCACCUGAGUAGUACUAAGCACAUGAGCUCAGUUUACAAUUGUAAUUUCUCGAUAACCGUCUAACAGACUCCAAGCUAGUAUUUAUACUAAUGUACAAGCACGUGUUAUUAUUUAUUCUUGUUUUAAAAUUCAGACGUCCUUGCCUUCGUCCUGCUUCUCUUUCAUCCCUCUAUCUCCUUUGAAUCUUCUCCUCUCAUAUGUAUGCUUGUACCUAUCAGAGAGAGAAGUUUUCUGAGCAAGAGAAGUUGGAAGAGGAGAAUAUACAGUCUCUCAAAUUAGUAAAGAAAGAACACGCCCAAGUGGAACUUAAGAGGCUAGAGAAUCUAAAAGUUGAAAUCGAUAUCUCCACUGAAGUUUUUAAAUGGGAGAUGGUAGUGAGUUUCGACAUGAGUAAUCUGGAUGGAAUGGAUAAUUAUAGUAUGAUACAUACACCAAUGGAAUAUGGGUUGAAACUAUCAAAGUCUAAAGUUGAAAGACACAGUGAUGCUGCAAGAUACAUGAGGAAUGUCGGCUGUCAUAAGGCCAGACCGGAGCUAUCUUGCUGUGUAAUGAUGAUAAGACGAGAUAUGCAAAGAUUCGAAGCGUUUCGUAGAACUGCGAUGAAGAUACAUGCAACUACUGAGAUACCAAUUGUUGGAGACAUUGGUAGAGGUCAUAGAACUGACUUGGAUGAUGGCAAGAGCGUGGCAGGACAUAUAUUUUAUGAUAAUGAAAGAUCAAUUAUGUGGAGUUCAAGCAAACAAGAGAUUCUUGUGUUACCGUCAUGUGCAGCUGAAGGCAUAGCAGGGACUGAAGCUAUGGAACAAGCUAUAUGGCUUCAAGAGAUAUAUUGGCAUACACCUGAGAGUGAACAGAGAAGCGAUAUUGUGAUGAAAGCAUUUGGGAAACUGAAGCUCAAAGAAAUUAGAGGUAUUGAUGAAGACUUGUCGAAAAUGGAUUUCAAGCUUAAGGGGGAGAAUGUUGGAUUAAGCUUGAAAGAAAAGGGAACUUGAGAAAUAAGUUAAAGACCUAAUCGUACCGAGUUAUGGAAAUUAGGAAUAUUAAUAUGUUUAGGAGGAGUUAUCUAGAUAUAUUACCUAAUAGGAUUAGGAGUUAUUAAUCUCUAUAUAAGAAGAUGCAAGAGUGUUGCAUAACUUAUGGUUUAGAGAUUGAGAGAUUGUGAGCUUAAGGUUUUUGAGUUAUUUUUCCUUAAGAUAAUAAGAGAGUUAUUCUUAUUCGUGACUGAGUUCUUGAGAUUUCUAAACUAUAGCUUAGCGUGUCAAUAGCAGCAAACAAAGUGGAAAGGAUGAAAACAGAGAGCUUACACAAUCCUUUUAAUACAAAAACAAACUGAUCUCGUCUGUUCAAUGUACUUGUGAUCACAUUCACACAUCGUCUCUACUCCGAU